Molecule: ribosomal RNA, 871 nt
Filed under: uncultured bacterium
Lineage: Bacteria
Description: bacterial SSU rRNA
Rfam family: Bacterial small subunit ribosomal RNA
Source: RNAcentral
AGAGUUUGAUCAUGGCUCAGGACGAACGCUGGCGGCGUGCCUAAUACAUGCAAGUGGAACGCAAGGGAACACACCGUGCUUGCACAUCGUGUUUUCUUGAGUCGCGAACGGGUGAGUAACGCGUAGGUAACCUGCCUUUUAGCGGGGGAUAACUAUUGGAAACGAUAGCUAAUACCGCAUAAGAGAGUUUAACACAUGUUAGACGCUUGAAAGAUGCAAGAGCAUCACUAGGAGAUGGACCUGCGUUGUAUUAGCUAGUAGGUAGGGUAAAGGCCUACCUAGGCGACGAUACAUAGCCGACCCGAGAGGGUGACCGGCCACACUGGGACUGAGACACGGCCCAGACUCCUACGGGAGGCAGCAGUAGGGAAUCUUCGGCAAUGGGGGGAACCCUGACCGAGCAACGCCGCGUGAGUGAAGAAGGUUUUCGGAUCGUAAAGCUCUGUUGUCAGAGACGAACGUGUGUGAGAGUGGAAAGUUCACACAGUGGCGGUAACUGACCAGAAAGGGACGGCUAACUACGUGCCAGCAGCCGCGGUAAUACGUAGGUCCCGAGCGUUGUCCGGAUUUAUUGGGCGUAAAGCGAGCGCAGGCGGUUUUGUAAGUCUGAAGUCAAAGGCAGUGGCUUAACCAUUGUGUGCUUUGGAAACUGCAGGACUUGAGUGCAGAAGGGGAGAGUGGAAUUCCAUGUGCAGCGGUGAAAUGCGUAGAUAUAUGGAGGAACACCGGUGGCGAAAGCGGCUCUCUGGUCUGUAACUGACGCUGAGGCUCGAAAGCGUGGGUAGCGAACAGGAUUAGAUACCCUGGUAGUCCACGCCGUAAACGCUGAGUGCUAGGUGUUAGGCCCUUUCCGGGGCUUAGUGCCGGAGCU